AUAUAUAUAUAACCAUAUAUAACAGCAAAUAAUUCGAAUCACAAGUCUUUAACACUUUUCAGGAAAUAUGCCAUGCUAUGCUUCAAAACAUAAUAAGGAUGCAUAAAUAUAACAGGUGAAAUAAGGAAUCAACCGGAGACCCUGCAGCUGUCAUGUACGGCUAAUUCUAUAGCUCAAUAUCCAAUCCAGCCGGAGUCACCAACUGUAACC
RNAcentral lists this long non-coding RNA (210 nucleotides) under Malus domestica (apple). RNAcentral describes it as "long non-coding RNA (MDOM_LNC013990)". Lineage: Eukaryota; Viridiplantae; Streptophyta; Magnoliopsida; Rosales; Rosaceae. The record is from RNAcentral.